This 448-nucleotide ribosomal RNA is filed under the name uncultured organism. RNAcentral's name for it is "partial 16S ribosomal RNA". It matches the Rfam family "Bacterial small subunit ribosomal RNA", at positions 334 to 796 of the family's 1533-position model. The record is from RNAcentral.
CACUCCUGCGGGAGGCAGCAGUGGGGAAUUUUACGCAAUGGGGGAAACCCUGACGUAGCGACACCGCGUGAGCGAAGAAGCCCUUUGGGGUGUAAAGCUCUGUCAGCUGGAACGAAAACAAUGACGGUACCAGCAGAGGAAGCAUCGGCUAACUACGUGCCAGCAGCCGCGGUAAGACGUAGGAUGCGAGCGUUGUCCGGAUUUAUUGGGCGUAAAGAGUUCGUAGGUGGUUUGUUAAGUUUGGUGUUAAAGAUCGGGGCUCAACCCUGGGACUGCACUGAAUACUGGCAGACUCGAGUGUGGUAGAGGCUAGUGGAAUUCCCAGUGUAGCGGUGAAAUGCGUAGAUAUUGGGAAGAACACCGGUGGCGUAGGCGACUAGCUGGGCCAUAACUGACGCUGAGGAACGAAAGCCAGGGGAGCGAAUGGGAUUAGAAACCCGAGUAGUCC